AGUAUUCCUAUUCUUCUCUUUUAUUUAAAGAGCAAUUUUCCUAUCAUUCUCUUUUAUUUAAAAAGCAAGUUCCCAGUUUAUUCUAUUUAUUCAAGGAUGAUUUUGAGACUUUUUGGAAUUCUUUAUUGGUAAAUAUAUUUCUUGGUUUACUUUGUCCUAGUGGCAAUUGGUUAUUUUGUGCAAUAUUCUCUUGAUAUUAUAUCUUUUAAGAAUGUUGAGCAUAGCCAACUAUAUAUGAUUUCAACUUGGUUAACAGUAAAUUGUGGUAUACAGAGGGGUACUCUGCAGGUUUUGAUUUAAAGAGGUUGGAUACCUUUUGAGUUUGGUAACAUGAAAAAGGUGUUAAAAGACUUUUAUUAUAGAAGUAUUAUUUAUAAACUGUUAACCAAUCGGAAUUCAUUUGCUAGACCGUGGUGCCGGUCGUGAGUUACAUGUUACAUUAUUUAAGGCCAAUAUGUGCCUUGGGCCCCUUUGUUUUUGGGACAGGUAGCGCCUUGUGCCCGGUGCUUGAUGCUCGGCUGAUCACCGUGUCAGCACAACGCGCCGUAAGCGAAUGAUUUUUCACAGAAUAGUUUUAAAUGAUUAUAUUCUCUUGUAAUUGCCAUACUUUUAUAGAAUUAUAACUGUUGUUCUCCAUUGUUGAAAAUACCUGGCAAGUUACAUACAAAAUCUGAUAUAUUUUAUUCUCCUUUUAUUUAUUACAAUUGUUCUUUUAUAUACUUGCUGAGCAUUAUUGCUCACUCUUGCUAUUAUUUUUAACCUUUUCAGCUAGGGAUUUAGAUGAUUCGUUUGUCAAGCUGCGCGUAGGAGUAAUGCUAGGCGAGAUUGCCAGGGAGAUGUCUUCAAGAAUAGUUCUGCUAGGGAUUUAGAUGAUUCGUUUGUCAAGCUGCGCGUAGGAGUAAUGCUAGGCGAGAUUGCCAGGGAGAUGUCUUCAAGAAUAGUUCUGGUUAGAAUUGAUUUAUUCCAGUUUAGUUGUAUAAUAGAUUUAUUUAUUUGGUUAUCAGUUAUUCUUCUUAUCGAGGUUUAGCUGAUAAUGUAGUUUAAGUUGUAAUGAGAUUUUAAAGUUUUAGUUUCUGA
Molecule: long non-coding RNA, 1077 nt
Organism: Daucus carota subsp. sativus
Lineage: Eukaryota; Viridiplantae; Streptophyta; Magnoliopsida; Apiales; Apiaceae
Exons: 2
Source: RefSeq, a predicted model, not a curated record